Molecule: non-coding RNA, 30 nt
Filed under: Rattus norvegicus (Norway rat)
Lineage: Eukaryota; Metazoa; Chordata; Mammalia; Rodentia; Muridae
Source: RNAcentral
UCAGUCUAUGAACAGUCAUGAAGGUGUCCC